GGGCUGGGGAGGCCUUACACAUGCAGUCGAGCGGAGAGAGGUAGCUUGCUACUGAUCUUAGCGGCGGACGGGUGAGUAAUGCUUAGGAAUCUGCCUAUUAGUGGGGGACAACAUUUCGAAAGGAAUGCUAAUACCGCAUACGUCCUACGGGAGAAAGCAGGGGAUCUUCGGACCUUGCGCUAAUAGAUGAGCCUAAGUCGGAUUAGCUAGUUGGUGGGGUAAAGGCCUACCAAGGCGACGAUCUGUAGCGGGUCUGAGAGGAUGAUCCGCCACACUGGGACUGAGACACGGCCCAGACUCCUACGGGAGGCAGCAGUGGGGAAUAUUGGACAAUGGGCGCAAGCCUGAUCCAGCCAUGCCGCGUGUGUGAAGAAGGCCUUAUGGUUGUAAAGCACUUUAAGCGAGGAGGAGGCUACUUUAGUUAAUACCUAGAGAUAGUGGACGUUACUCGCAGAAUAAGCACCGGCUAACUCUGUGCCAGCAGCCGCGGUAAUACAGAGGGUGCAAGCGUUAAUCGGAUUUACUGGGCGUAAAGCGCGCGUAGGCGGCUAAUUAAGUCAAAUGUGAAAUCCCCGAGCUUAACUUGGGAAUUGCAUUCGAUACUGGUUAGCUAGAGUGUGGGAGAGGAUGGUAGAAUUCCAGGUGUAGCGGUGAAAUGCGUAGAGAUCUGGAGGAAUACCGAUGGCGAAGGCAGCCAUCUGGCCUAACACUGACGCUGAGGUGCGAAAGCAUGGGGAGCAAACAGGAUUAGAUACCCUGGUAGUCCAUGCCGUAAACGAUGUCUACUAGCCGUUGGGGCCUUUGAGGCUUUAGUGGCGCAGCUAACGCGAUAAGUAGACCGCCUGGGGAGUACGGUCGCAAGACUAAAACUCAAAUGAAUUGACGGGGGCCCGCACAAGCGGUGGAGCAUGUGGUUUAAUUCGAUGCAACGCGAAGAACCUUACCUGGCCUUGACAUAGUAAGAACUUUCCAGAGAUGGAUUGGUGCCUUCGGGAACUUACAUACAGGUGCUGCAUGGCUGUCGUCAGCUCGUGUCGUGAGAUGUUGGGUUAAGUCCCGCAACGAGCGCAACCCUUUUCCUUAUUUGCCAGCGAGUAAUGUCGGGAACUUUAAGGAUACUGCCAGUGACAAACUGGAGGAAGGCGGGGACGACGUCAAGUCAUCAUGGCCCUUACGGCCAGGGCUACACACGUGCUACAAUGGUCGGUACAAAGGGUUGCUACCUAGCGAUAGGAUGCUAAUCUCAAAAAGCCGAUCGUAGUCCGGAUUGGAGUCUGCAACUCGACUCCAUGAAGUCGGAAUCGCUAGUAAUCGCGGAUCAGAAUGCCGCGGUGAAUACGUUCCCGGGCCUUGUACACACCGCCCGUCACACCAUGGGAGUUUGUUGCACCAGAAGUAGCUAGCCUAACUGCAAAGAGGGCGGUUACCAUCGGGGCGAACAU
This 1442-nucleotide ribosomal RNA is filed under the name bacterium. RNAcentral's name for it is "bacterial SSU rRNA". It matches the Rfam family "Bacterial small subunit ribosomal RNA". The record is from RNAcentral.